This 259-nucleotide ribosomal RNA is filed under the name uncultured bacterium. Its description in RNAcentral is "partial 16S ribosomal RNA". It matches the Rfam family "Bacterial small subunit ribosomal RNA", at positions 96 to 353 of the family's 1533-position model. The record is from RNAcentral.
UGGCGGACGGGUGAGUAACGCGUGGGUAACCUGCCUCAUACAGGGGGAUAACAGUUGGAAACGACUGCUAAUACCGCAUAAGCGCACAGGGUCGCAUGACCUGGUGUGAAAAACUCCGGUGGUAUGAGAUGGACCCGCGUCUGAUUAGCCAGUUGGCAGGGUAACGGCCUACCAAAGCGACGAUCAGUAGCCGACCUGAGAGGGUGACCGGCCACAUUGGGACUGAGACACGGCCCAAACUCCUACGGGAGGCAGCAUG